RNAcentral lists this ribosomal RNA (450 nucleotides) under Triticum aestivum (bread wheat). Its description in RNAcentral is "partial small subunit ribosomal RNA". The record is from RNAcentral. Lineage: Eukaryota; Viridiplantae; Streptophyta; Magnoliopsida; Poales; Poaceae.
AUGGCGCUGAGGAGGAUUGUCAAGGAGCUCAAGGACCUGCAGAGGGACCCGCCGACCUCCUGUAGCGCAGGGCCGGUGUCGUCGAACGACAUGUUCCACUGGCAGGCGACGAUCAUGGGGCCGAGCGACAGCCCCUACUCGGGCGGCGUGUUCCUGGUGACCAUCCACUUCCCGCCGGACUACCCGUUCAAGCCCCCCAAGGUGGCCUUCAAGACCAAGGUGUUCCACCCCAACAUCAACAGCAACGGCAACAUCUGCCUCGACAUCCUCAAGGACCAGUGGAGCCCCGCCCUCACCAUUUCCAAGGUUCUGCUGUCGAUAUGCUCGCUGCUGACGGACCCCAACCCGGACGACCCGCUGGUGCCGGAGAUCGCGCACAUGUGCAAGGCCGACCGGACCAGGUACGAGUCCACGGCCAGGGGCUGGACGCACAAGUACGCCAUGGGAUAG